AUGCACUGUGGCUAUUGCAAAGGAGCUGGUCAUAACAGAAGUGGUUGCUCAAAGUUGAAAGCUGCUGUACUAAGAGAAGAGGAAGAUCAACAUGAGCAGACUGGGGACUUUGGAAGUGAUCCACAUGAGCAUGGCAGAACAGAUAAUGUUGAAAGUGAUCAACCUGAUCAUGGCAGAACAGAAAAUGUUGCAACUGAGCAGCCAGAAUCACAUAGUAGGAGGGGAAGGAAGAGAAAGCCCACUGGCAAAAUGAGGGAGCAAAUAGAGCAAACGAGGGAGCAAGCUAAGAAAAAGAAGUCAAAGAUGGUUAUUGAUGAAAAUGGAGAUGUUGACUUCCCUAUAAUUCUAACUCACAUUCAGAACAAAACUUUGAGGCCAGAUCUUGACCCAACACGGGUUGAAGACAUCAUGAUACAUAUUUUAUCACAUGAGGUAUAG
RNAcentral lists this ribosomal RNA (438 nucleotides) under Triticum aestivum (bread wheat). RNAcentral's name for it is "partial small subunit ribosomal RNA". Lineage: Eukaryota; Viridiplantae; Streptophyta; Magnoliopsida; Poales; Poaceae. The record is from RNAcentral.